CGCCCGGGUGAGUAACACGUAUGCAACCUGCCUGCCACAGCCGGAUAAUCGGGAGAAAUUCCGUCUAAUACGGCAUAAUGCAUCGACGGGACAUCCUGUUGGUGCCAAAGGUUAAUUCCGGUGGCGGAUGGGCAUGCGUCGCAUUAGUUAGUUGGCGGUGUAACGGACCACCAAGACGACGAUGCGUAGGGGUUCUGAGAGGAAGGUCCCCCACACUGGUACUGAGAUACGGUCCAAACUCCUACGGAAGGCAGCAG
RNAcentral lists this ribosomal RNA (257 nucleotides) under uncultured bacterium. Its description in RNAcentral is "partial 16S ribosomal RNA". It matches the Rfam family "Bacterial small subunit ribosomal RNA", at positions 99 to 354 of the family's 1533-position model. The record is from RNAcentral.